GGUUUAUAAAGAAGCGGCGAGAGAUCAGGCUCGAAAACCCGCUGGCAACCCUUCAAUGGUGAAGAAGGUGCCAAUUCCUGUCCCGGAAAAAGAAUACCGGGGGAUAUAAAUU
This 112-nucleotide non-coding RNA is filed under the name Mucilaginibacter sp. RNAcentral's name for it is "SAM-I sequence". It matches the Rfam family "SAM riboswitch aptamer (S box leader)". From Rfam's summary of the family: The SAM riboswitch is found upstream of a number of genes which code for proteins involved in methionine or cysteine biosynthesis in Gram-positive bacteria. The SAM riboswitch acts at the level of transcription termination control. The record is from RNAcentral. Lineage: Bacteria; Pseudomonadati; Bacteroidota; Sphingobacteriia; Sphingobacteriales; Sphingobacteriaceae.